RNAcentral lists this ribosomal RNA (401 nucleotides) under uncultured bacterium. Its description in RNAcentral is "bacterial SSU rRNA". It matches the Rfam family "Bacterial small subunit ribosomal RNA", at positions 356 to 773 of the family's 1533-position model. The record is from RNAcentral.
GGGGAAUAUUGGACAAUGGGCGAAAGCCUGAUCCAGCCAUGCCGCGUGAGUGAAGAAGGUUUUCGGAUCGUAAAGCUCUGUUAUUGGGGAAGAAGAAUGACGGUACCCAAUGAGGAAGUCCCGGCUAACUACGUGCCAGCAGCCGCGGUAAUACGUAGGGGACAAGCGUUGUCCGGAAUGACUGGGCGUAAAGGGCGCGUAGGCGGUCUAUUAAGUCUGAUGUGAAAGGUACCGGCUCAACCGGUGAAGUGCAUUGGAAACUGGUAGACUUGAGUAUUGGAGAGGCAAGUGGAAUUCCUAAUGUAGCGGUGAAAUGCGUAGAUAUUAGGAGGAACACCAGUGGCGAAGGCGGCUUGCUGGACAAAUACUGACGCUGAGGUGCGAAAGCGUGGGGAGCGAAC